This is a transfer RNA of Camelus ferus (Wild Bactrian camel), 73 nucleotides long. It matches the Rfam family "tRNA". From Rfam's summary of the family: Transfer RNA (tRNA) molecules are approximately 80 nucleotides in length. Their secondary structure includes four short double-helical elements and three loops (D, anti-codon, and T loops). The record is from Rfam. NCBI's taxonomy places the organism in Eukaryota, Metazoa, Chordata, Mammalia, Artiodactyla, Camelidae.
GAGGGUAUAGCUCAAGUGGCAGAGUGCGUGCUUAGCAUGCACAAGGUCCUGGGUUCAAUCCCCAGUAUUGCCU